ACGAACGCUGGCGGCGUGCUUAACACAUGCCAGUCGCACGGAAAGGCCCUGCUUUUGUGGGGUGCUCGAGUGGCGAACGGGUGAGUAACACGUGAGUAACCUGCCCUUGACUUUGGGAUAACUUCAGGAAACUGGGGCUAAUACCGGAUAGGAGCUCCUGCUGCAUGGUGGGGGUUGGAAAGUUUCGGCGGUUGGGGAUGGACUCGCGGCUUAUCAGCUUGUUGGUGGGGUAGUGGCUUACCAAGGCUUUGACGGGUAGCCGGCCUGAGGGGGUGACCGGCCACAUUGGGACUGAGAUACGGCCCAGACUCCUACGGGAGGCAGCAGUGGGGAAUAUUGCACAAUGGGCGGAAGCCUGAUGCAGCAACGCCGCGUGCGGGAUGACGGCCUUCGGGUUGUAAACCGCUUUCGCCUGUGACGAAGCGUGAGUGACGGUAAUGGGUAAAGAAGCACCGGCUAACUACGUG
RNAcentral lists this ribosomal RNA (467 nucleotides) under uncultured bacterium. RNAcentral describes it as "partial 16S ribosomal RNA". It matches the Rfam family "Bacterial small subunit ribosomal RNA", at positions 29 to 507 of the family's 1533-position model. The record is from RNAcentral.